GAAGUUGGUAGAGUCUCGGGCCCGCUUAACUGCUGAAAGAGUAGGAAGGGGUCCGUUUCAUUAGCGCGUUCAACCAAAGAGCGCUGUUAGGUGAGCAAAAACAAACCAGUUGUGUCUGAGCCAACACCCGUUUGUCUAUGGGUUGUAGCAGUUGGUCCACCUAAUCAAGGAAGUGCCGAGAGCACAGGACAUGAAAAGACACAGCGCUAAGGUACAUGGCACGUUCACGAAGGUACAGGAGAGGCAAGAAAUGAGACGGGAAAGGUGGCCUAGGACCAGGUCGUGAAUGACAUGAUAACUAAGUUUUGACUUUUUCUCGUAGGUCAGUGGUUCUCAACCAGCGGCAAUUUUGCCUUCCAGGGAACAUUUGUCAAAGUCUAGAGACAUAUUUGGUUGUCUUCACCAAGGGGAGGAGGGAGGGAAGUGCUACUGACAUCCAUGGGUUGAAGCAAAGGAUGCUGCUGAACAUCCUGUAAUGCACAGGACGGCCUCCCCCACCAAGGAAUUACCUGGGCCAAAUAGUAGUACUGAAAUUGAGAAACCCUGCUGUAGGCAGUGAGACACUAGCAACAAUUCUUCUUUUUUUUUUUUUUUUUUUUAAGCUGGAGUCAGGGUCUCGUGCUGUUGCCCAGGCUGGUCUUGAACUCCUGGGCUCAAGCAAUCCUCCCGCCCUGGCCUCCCAAAGUACUGGAAUUACAGAUGUGAGCCAUCAAGCCCAGCCACAGCAGUUCUUAAAAGGAAAAUCACAUAAUCAUAUUUGUGUGUUAGAUAAUUAUAACAACAUAGAGGAUUCAUUGAAGAGAGAGAGGAGAUGAGAAAAACAAUUUCAUCCUUUGUUUAUCAAGGACCUAUUAUGUGUACUUGAUCAUGCAUCAGGCACUACAGAUUCAAAGAUGAAUAAGAGUCCAGCAAGGGAAAUAAUAAGUACCUUUAUGGGACUUGGGGAGACUCAAACUCUGGCCUCGGGUCUUCAUCCCCAUGAACCUCUUAAUUAAAACAAGAGAAGGGCCUGAACUAGAGCAGGGGUUGAGGACAUGGAAAAGAGAACCUACUUGAGAAACAUCUCAGAAAUGAAAUGAACCAGGCUGAGUUUUGGAGUGGAAGUAGAAGUUGAGAGCAGUGAAAACCAAAACUGAGGUCUUUAUCCUGGGCAACUACACAGAUAGUGCUGCUAAUAGGAAAAUGCAGGAGAAGCAACAGACUUAGAGGACUGUCUUGCAGGGUUUUCUUUCUGAGAGAGAGUAAAUAUCAAAUUCCUAUAGGACAGGUACAAGCAACUCACAUAAAAAUUGCCAACAGCCAAAAAA
This 1307-nucleotide long non-coding RNA is filed under the name Homo sapiens (human). Its description in RNAcentral is "long intergenic non-protein coding RNA 837". Lineage: Eukaryota; Metazoa; Chordata; Mammalia; Primates; Hominidae. The record is from RNAcentral.